This 501-nucleotide long non-coding RNA is filed under the name Gossypium raimondii (Peruvian cotton). RNAcentral's name for it is "long non-coding RNA (GRAI_LNC006935)". Lineage: Eukaryota; Viridiplantae; Streptophyta; Magnoliopsida; Malvales; Malvaceae. The record is from RNAcentral.
ACAACUGAAAUCAACAUGCUAUUUUAUUGGCUCCCAAAAACAAAUAGAUGCUCGUAUGAUAUGACGAAAGCAGCCUUUUAAUAAUCAAUGUUUACAUUGCUUGCUUUUUCUAAAUUAGAUAAUGAAAUUGUGUUCAUGCAAUAUGUAUUAUGGCUUAAAGAUAUAAAGAAAAACACAUUAGAACAACAUAUCAGCAACUGAAGAUUAAAAUUAAAAAUUUCUAACACCCCCACAUGAUAUACAGCAUAAUUGCAGUGAUGCCAUCCUGAAAUUAACUAUUGUCUCAAUUUGCUUUACAUACCAUUUCAUUAAUGGUAAAAACUAAAUCUGCAUGUAUACAUCUGUUCGGAUUUCUAUAAUACAAAAAUGUAUAAAUCAUCAAGAGAAGAUGCUAUGAAUUCAUAAUCCAAAUGUAUGACAUUGUAAUCAAGAACAUGCAUCCAAUUCCAAAAAAUUCACAAAAAGAAUAAUCAAUCAACUUGCAACAUAUAAAAGCAAUAU